UUCCAGACUCCUACGGGAGGCAGCAGUGGGGAAUAUUGCACAAUGGGGGAAACCCUGAUGCAGCGACGCCGCGUGAGCGAUGAAGUAUUUCGGUAUGUAAAGCUCUAUCAGCAGGGAAGAAAAUGACGGUACCUGACUAAGAAGCCCCGGCUAACUACGUGCCAGCAGCCGCGGUAAUACGUAGGGGGCAAGCGUUAUCCGGAUUUACUGGGUGUAAAGGGAGCGUAGACGGCUGUGCAAGCCAGAUGUGAAAGCCCGGGGCUCAACCCCGGGACUGCAUUUGGAACUGUGUGGCUGGAGUGUCGGAGAGGCAGGCGGAAUUCCUAGUGUAGCGGUGAAAUGCGUAGAUAUUAGGAGGAACACCAGUGGCGAAGGCGGCUUUCUGGACUGUAACUGACACUGAGGUACGAAAGCGUGGGGAGCAAACAGGAUUAGAUACCCGCGUAUG
This 448-nucleotide ribosomal RNA is filed under the name uncultured bacterium. RNAcentral's name for it is "bacterial SSU rRNA". It matches the Rfam family "Bacterial small subunit ribosomal RNA", at positions 329 to 793 of the family's 1533-position model. The record is from RNAcentral.